Molecule: ribosomal RNA, 274 nt
Filed under: uncultured bacterium
Lineage: Bacteria
Description: partial 16S ribosomal RNA
Rfam family: Bacterial small subunit ribosomal RNA
Source: RNAcentral
AUACGGAGGGUGCAAGCGUUAUCCGGAUUUAUUGGGUUUAAAGGGUGCGCAGGCGGACAUAUAAGUCAGUGGUGAAAUCCCGGGGCUCAACCCCGGAACUGCCAUUGAUACUGUAUGUCUUGAAUACGGUUGAAGUAGGCGGAAUGUAGCAUGUAGCGGUGAAAUGCAUAGAUAUGCUACAGAACACCGAUCGCGAAGGCAGCUUACUAAGCCGAUAUUGACGCUCAGGCACGAAAGCGUGGGGAGCGAACAGGAUUAGAAACCCCGGUAGUCC